This 30-nucleotide non-coding RNA is filed under the name Rattus norvegicus (Norway rat). Lineage: Eukaryota; Metazoa; Chordata; Mammalia; Rodentia; Muridae. The record is from RNAcentral.
UGAUCGCAGCAUCAGAGGAAUGUCAAGGUC